CUUCUAAAGUGCCGACAUUACAGGCGUGCGUCACUGAGCCUGACUGGACAUUGUAAAAUAUCAGCCCAGUGAAGGGGCACAGAUGCCAAAUGAACACCCAGGUUUUUUUUGCUACUGCAAAAGCUAUAACGUUACACUCCUAGGAGUUAUCUGGUUUUACUGUGCUAGAAAAUAUUUUUCUGUUGAAGUAGAAUUACAUACCAGGAGAGGUUAAAUGUAGGCAGAGAUUAAAUGCCCGUUAUCUACCAAUUCAACAGUGCAGUUUGGCUGGUCAAAAAAGCUGGAGGUAGGGACUGGGCUUGAUGCCUGACUGUAGAUAACAAUGACUAAAUAAAGAGGUGGUUGUAUAAUAGUUACUGUACUGAUUGAAGCUACUAUUUACACUUGGUAUGUUACUCUAGGUCUGCUAUUGCCUCUUCUUCCUGAUUCUUUAAGAAGUAGAUAAAGAGCACCUUGCUUUUACUUAAUAUGACAUGUAGUACCUCUAUUAUUCUGUUGCAGGGAUAUUUGAGCUCACUAGAAAUAGGGUCUUGAUCCCUAGCACAAUGAGAACAGCUCAUUGAGAUUCAAGUAUUUUAUUAAAUUUAUGACAUCUUAAUCAUGGCUCCAACUAAGAAAGUGACUUUUACUGUCCUGAAUAGCAUACAGAAAAUGCUAUUCACAGUCAGCUGGACCUUGAGUCAGAAGACAGUCAACAGCCCCACUUCCCAAAUGUCUUUCUUGAAGGGUACUUGGGCAGCAGUCCAAAGAGCUACUUUACAACAGCCAAAGACACGUUGCUAACCUUAUAACUAUAAGCUACAAAGAAAGAGCCCUAACGCCUGGUUUGCCUCUUUGGAUACAGUGAAUCACACAUACACAUUUUAUUAAAGCACUUGUGAUACUUCACUGGACAACCAGGCCGAUUUAAACACCUCCUCCACCCCACCCUGUAGUAAAAUGCCUUGGAAGCUGUCUAGGGCGCAUUAACACAAUCUCUGGCCUUAAGCCCCUUAUCCCCUUCAGACCCUGAGAAGUUACAUGUGUUCAUGACUGAUUGCCUUGGUUCAUUCUGUCCUGCUGCAACAGAAUACUUAAGACUGGGUAAUUUAUAAAGAAAGGAAAUGUAUUGGCUUACAGUUGUGGAGGUUGGAAAGUCCAAGAUUGAGGGGCUAACAUCUAGUGAGGGCUUUCUUACUGCAUCAUUACACAGAGGAAGGUGAGAGGGCAAGAGGGGUCAAGAAAUCGAGAGAGAGAAGAGAACUGAACUCUUUCUUUUGUAACAAGCCUAGUCCUUUAAUAACAAACUCACUUCCGUGAUAACAGCAUUAAUCCAUCCAUGAGGGCAGAGCCCUCAUGGCCUAAUAACCCCUCAUUAGGCUUCAACUCCUAAAAAUAUUGCAUAAGGGUUAAGUUUCCAACACAUGCUUUUUGGAAAACAUAUUUAAACCAUAGCACUGAUCUUAUAGAUUAUUGAAAUUUUUGGCAAUGAGAUUCUGCUAGUAUUUUUUGAUCUUUAAGUUUUUGCACUUUGAGACUUCCUUCCAUUGCUAAAUAUUUCAACCCUGUUUCUGAGCUCUAACAGGGAGAGACUGUCUCGCUAAAGAAAAAAUGUGACACUCUAACCUGAUAACCCAUCUCAUUCUCUCUGAACCAAAGACCUUUGAGGUGGGAAAAUGUCAAGAAAACUCCUAUGAAAUGGAAAUGGUACAUCCAAUUGGAGGCCAAAUCUGGCUCUCAAGUCCUGAGCAAAAUUCAUGAGCAAGUGGCUGUUCACAUCUGGUGGCUUGUAGGAAGAAUCCAUUGAGUGUGUUAGGACCCUUGUGUCUCUAUCCCUAACCACUUUCCUUCUUUUUUCAUCCCCACCUUGACUCCAGUAGGUGGCUGGGAAGGUUAACCUGGGUUGGAAACAACUUCAUGGACAUAAAUUUGGAUGAUUUCUGCCCUGUGAAGUCAUUUCAUGGUAAUUGCCACAAGAUGAUGCCACUGGCAACUUGAUACAGAAAGUCACCUUAAACCAGACUCAGACUGGCACCAUGUGACCCCAGGACUGAUUUUUCUGCGAGGACUCUGCAGGGCUCUUGAUUCUGAAAUACUUGCAACUUCAGGGAAAAGACACUCCCUUGGCCAGCUUCAUCCCAGCGUCUAGUUGGAGAAAGAAGACUGGACAUGCUACAUUUUUGGGCAAGAUAUUUAUCGUUUCCAAACCUAUUUCCUGAUCUAUAAAAUGGGAAUGAUAAAAGAACUCACAUCGUCAAGCUUUUGUGAGAAUUGCAACUGAUAAAUGAUAAAUGUUAUUAUGACAUAGCAAUAAAUGUCGAUU
Molecule: long non-coding RNA, 2302 nt
Organism: Cercocebus atys (sooty mangabey)
Lineage: Eukaryota; Metazoa; Chordata; Mammalia; Primates; Cercopithecidae
Exons: 3
Source: RefSeq, a predicted model, not a curated record